This is a small nuclear RNA of Suricata suricatta (meerkat), 107 nucleotides long. The record is from Ensembl. NCBI's taxonomy places the organism in Eukaryota, Metazoa, Chordata, Mammalia, Carnivora, Herpestidae.
GUACUAGCUUUGGCAGCACACAGAUUAAAAUUGGAAGGACACAGAGAAGACUAGCAUGGCUUUUGUGUAAGAAAGACAUGCAAAUGUGGAAGAAUUGCACAUUUUGU